UAUCGACUGCCAUCAAGCCACGCUACCUAAGCAUUCUGUGCGAAGCUGUCGAAGUGAAAACACGAACAUGUUGAACAUUAAAGGUGGUGUGUUCCUGAUGGUAAUGCUUGCAACAGCCACUUCGUUCAUGUUGAACAACAGAGCGGAACAGCAAGAGAACCGUUUGAUUAUAUAUUGCCUGGGAGAAUUGCAAAUUUGUAGUGAUACCAGCUUAAAAUGUUGCGAGGGAUAUACAUGCAAAACCAUCAUUGAGGGUUUGGCCUGGUGUAACGAUUAAAAGUGGCAGACACAUUCGGU
Physella acuta is the source of this 297-nucleotide long non-coding RNA. RefSeq lists it as uncharacterized. The record is from RefSeq and is a predicted model, not a curated record. Lineage: Eukaryota; Metazoa; Mollusca; Gastropoda; Physidae.